Odocoileus virginianus texanus is the source of this 1919-nucleotide non-coding RNA. The record is from RefSeq and is a predicted model, not a curated record. Lineage: Eukaryota; Metazoa; Chordata; Mammalia; Artiodactyla; Cervidae.
GCAGAUUCUUUACCAUCUGAGCCACCAGGGAAGCCCAUCUCACCACUAUUCUGAAAUGAAUCAAUUCAAUCUUUUCCCUUGUGGAAAUUAGUAACUAGUUGUAAUUAAGAUACAAACAACUGGAGGAGGGACAGAAGCUAUAGGUAUAUGGAGAAACACAGAGACAGAGAAAGAACAGGAUGUCAGUCGAGCACCAAAGCAGGGGACCGAGCAGCUCUCAUGCUAAGUUAUCUAGAUCCCGAGUGUGGCCUGUACACCAGUUGUGGCAUCACCAGGAAUUAUUGGAAAUGCAGAAUCCCAGACCAAAUCCCAAACCUGCUGAGUUGGAAUUUACAUUCAGAAAACAUCCCCCGGUGAUUCACGUGCUAGAGCGUGAUCAGUUUUGCCCCAGGUGGCCCGAGGCCGCAGCUGCGAUGGGCCCUGAGCAGCCUUCAUCCUGCUGAGGCUGAUGGUGCCCACCUUCUGUGUACCCUGAAUCCUGGUCCCGGGUCACAAGGUUAUAAAGGGAAAAGCUGGAACCCCAACAGGAGUCUGCCACUCUGGUCUGACUAGGUCACUGUGAUGUUCUAUUUCUAGCUCAUUUAUCCAGAAACACAUAUAGUUGCCAGGAAACAAAUCACACAGUUGAAGGGUUGGAUCUUUCAAUUCCAGGGAGAGGAGAGGGGCUGGAGGUUGAAUGUUACCAGUGGCCAAUGAUUUGAUCAGUUGUGCCAGUGCCACAAAGCCUUCAUGAAAACCCCAAAGGACCGGGUCCAGGGAGCUUCUGGUUGGUGAACAUGUGGCAAUGUGGGGACGGUAAACUCGUCAGGGAGCGUGGGCAUCCCACACCCUUCCCCACAUACCUUACCCCUAGCAUCGCCUUCCUCUGUCUGUUCCUGAGUUACAGUCUUUUGUAAUAAACGAGUGGUCAUAAAGUGUUUCUCUGAGUUCUAUGAGCAAAUUAACAUAGCCCACAGCUGAGGGCAUCGGAACCUUUGAUCUCCAGUGGGCCAGGCAAAAGGCUGGAUGUUUGAUUGGCGCCUGAAGUGGGGACAGACACCAUCUCCAGAAUUCAUAGAAGACCCUGACUUCCUAUCAAAAGGCCUUCAAAAAACAAGAACAUAAUUAGUGGUUAUCCAAGUGAACACACACUGAAAUGUACGAAUAACAGGUGCAAGGGCUCCUAGAGUCAUUGAUGGCAGCAGCUCUGAGGAUUUGGAGCAAGGGGCCCCAACACCCGAGACAGCCGGAGGAGCGGGUGUUGCAGGUGACUGUGUGGCUCGCGUGGGCGCUCAGCAUUAUUUGAUGUGGGAGAUGACAGCUUGUCUAAAGACAGGGCUGAGCAGGACAGCUGGCUGGGGGAUUAGCCGCAUGUGAGAGGCUGGGAAUUGGAGAAUAGAAGCGGUAGGAUCAGAGCGUCAGCAGGAUCAGCUCUGGCACAGCUGGGGUCUGGGUUCUGGAAUCCAUCUGCUGUGGUUUCUCACUAGGGUUCCCUCAGCUGGUUGGACUGCAGACUGUCUUCCUGCCCUGGCUCUUAUAACUGGUUGCUUUUCUUGGUUUAGGGUCAGCACAUUGCUGCUGCUUCUCCCCUCCGCCCCGUUUUGGCUGCACGCAGCUGCUGGGAUCUUAGUUCCCAGAUGGGAUCGAACCUGAGCUUCCUGCACUAGAAAGGAGAGUCUUGAUCAUCGGAUGGCCAGGGAAGUCCCUCAUUGUUGCUUCUUUAUAGAAGAUGCCUCUCCAGCUCUAUUUCUCUGCAGCCUUUAUCACUAUCUGCAACUAUUUUACUUAAUCACUUGUUUUCUGUUCAUUGUGUGCUUCCUAUCUGAAGAUAAGCUUUAUAAGAGGAUCAACUGUAUCUUCAGCAGUUUCUGUGUCAUUUUAGUAAACAUACAUCAGGUAACUGGCUGGCUGGACAAACAAAUAAAUACAUUUAUCUCCAA